AGUAGAGAUGGGGUUUCACCAUGUUGGUCAGGCUGGUCUCAAACUCCUGACCUCAGAUGAUCCGCCCACC
This 70-nucleotide microRNA precursor is filed under the name Colobus angolensis palliatus. Its description in RNAcentral is "miRNA (ENSCANG00000011171.1)". Lineage: Eukaryota; Metazoa; Chordata; Mammalia; Primates; Cercopithecidae. The record is from RNAcentral.